RNAcentral lists this ribosomal RNA (1373 nucleotides) under uncultured bacterium. RNAcentral describes it as "16S ribosomal RNA". It matches the Rfam family "Bacterial small subunit ribosomal RNA", at positions 30 to 1394 of the family's 1533-position model. The record is from RNAcentral.
UGAACGCUGGCGGUAUGCUUAACACAUGCAAGUCGAACGGAAACGAUACUAGCUUGCUAGUAGGCGUUGAGUGGCGGACGGGUGAGUAACGCGUAGGAAUCUGCCUGAUAGUGGGGGAUAGCCCGAAGAAAUUCGGAUUAAUACCGCAUAAUCUAUUCGUAGUAAAGUGGGGGACUUUCGAGCCUCACGCUAUCAGAUGAGCCUGCGUAAGAUUAGCUUGUUGGUAGGGUAAAAGCCUACCAAGGCGACGAUCUUUAGCUGGUCUGAGAGGAUGAUCAGCCACAUCGGGACUGAGACACGGCCCGAACUCCUACGGGAGGCAGCAGUGGGGAAUAUUGGACAAUGGGGGCAACCCUGAUCCAGCAAUACCGCGUGUGUGAAGAAGGCCUGAGGGUUGUAAAGCACUUUCAAUUGUGAAGAAAAGUUAGCGGUUAAUAACCGUUAGCCUUGACGUUAACUUUAGAAGAAGCACCGGCUAACUCCGUGCCAGCAGCCGCGGUAAUACGGAGGGUGCAAGCGUUAAUCGGAAUUACUGGGCGUAAAGCGUGCGUAGGCGGUUUAUUAAGUCAGAUGUGAAAGCCCCGGGCUUAACCUGGGAACUGCAUUUGAAACCGGUCAACUAGAGUAUGGUAGAGGAAAGUGGAAUUUCUGGUGUAGCGGUGAAAUGCGUAGAUAUCAGAAGGAACAUCAAUGGCGAAGGCAGCUUUCUGGACCAAUACUGACGCUGAGGUACGAAAGCGUGGGUAGCAAACAGGAUUAGAUACCCUGGUAGUCCACGCCGUAAACGAUGAUAACUAGCCGUUGGGGGGAUUUACCCUUUAGUGGCGAAGCUAACGCGUUAAGUUAUCCGCCUGGGGAGUACGGCCGCAAGGUUAAAACUCAAAGGAAUUGACGGGGACCCGCACAAGCGGUGGAGCAUGUGGUUUAAUUCGAUGCAACGCGAAGAACCUUACCUGGUCUUGACAUCCUGCGAACUUUCUAGAAAUAGAUUGGUGCCUUCGGGAACGCAGUGACAGGUGCUGCAUGGCUGUCGUCAGCUCGUGUCGUGAGAUGUUGGGUUAAGUCCCGUAACGAGCGCAACCCCUAUCCUUAUUUGCCAGCACAUCAUGGUGGGAACUAUAAGGAGACUGCCGGUGAUAAACCGGAGGAAGGCGGGGACGACGUCAAGUCAUCAUGGCCCUUACGACCAGGGCUACACACGUGCUACAAUGGGAAGGACAAAGAGCCGCGAAGCCGCGAGGUGUAGCUAAUCUCAUAAACCUUUUCGUAGUCCGGAUUGGAGUCUGCAACUCGACUCCAUGAAGUCGGAAUCGCUAGUAAUCGUAGAUCAGAAUGCUACGGUGAAUACGUUCCCGGGUCUUGUACUCACCGCC